Molecule: long non-coding RNA, 1510 nt
Organism: Salvia miltiorrhiza (redroot sage)
Lineage: Eukaryota; Viridiplantae; Streptophyta; Magnoliopsida; Lamiales; Lamiaceae
Exons: 7
Source: RefSeq, a predicted model, not a curated record
UACCUCCAAUUCCCAAAACCUAAAAUCAAUUCACCUUUCUCCCGUCUCUCACGAUUCUCCCCUCCCCCACCGCCGCAAUCUGCCCCACCGUGCACCCCGCCCCUCCCACCGCUGCGAUCUGCUUCGCCGGACCACCCCGCUCCCUUUCCCGCCGCGAUCUGCCCCCUCCCAUCUCCACACCGGUUCUUUCUCCCCCAAAAUUCCCAAAUCCGAAUUUCACAGACCUUCCAUCUCUUGCUUCGAUUCGCCGCAGUCCGGUCCUCUGAGGCGCGACCAGACCCCUUCGCACCGCCCCGCCCGUCGCGACCAGAGCAGUCCGCCAGUUGCGAGCCAGGCUGGAUUGAAGAAGAAGAGGAACUGCAUUCCGUGUUUUCUCUUAGAAGAGAGUCUCGGUCCUUGAUCCCUUUUCAUAGGUUACAACAGAAAAGGUAAAAACCUUGUGGGCAUCUCAAUAUACGGUGCAGAUCACUGCCUCAAGGCUGGAUUGAAGAAGAAGAGGAACUGCAUUCCGUGUUUUCUCUUAGAAGAGAGUCUCGGUCCUUGAUCCCUUUCAUAGGUUACAACAGAAAAGGUAAAAACCUUGUGGGCAUCUCAAUAUACGGUGCAGAUCACUGCCUCAAGAAGGAUGUCAGAUUGCUUUCUCUGAUUUAGUUUUGGAGGAAUUGUCAUUCAAACCAAAGGGAUAUAAUUACGCAUGAUAAGAAAAUACAUUAUGUAGUGGAAGGAGAGGGGCUGCCCAUUAUUCUUAUUCAUGGGUUUGGGGCUUCUGCAUUUCAUUGGAGGUUGGCCUCUCACCUUACUGAAAAUAUUUAAUCUUAAUUAAGUUGUAUUACAACUGAAUUGAAGGUAAAGCAUGGUUUAGCUAGAUUAGUGGAGUUCUAUUCAAAUUUAGACUAUCAUGGUCAUUUUAUCUUUCCCUAUUUCGAUAUUUAUAGUGAACAUUAAUAGCUUGGAUGUUGCUUUAUUAGGUCCAAGCUUCUUUCACAAUGCAUUUGACUGUAAAAUAUUUUAAUUGUUGGUUCUAAAAUUUGCUGCAGUUUUGUGGUGAUUUAUGUGUUGUGUGGUUUAUUGCAUUUGUUUGGUGGUUGAUUGCAGGACGUCCAAAAACAGUAGCGCCCCUACCUCUUAAGCCACGAUGGGUAGCGGGUGGCGGGUAUCCGACGGGUGGCGGAUACUCGACUGGUGGCGCGUAUCCGCGGGUUGUGGGUUGGAAAACAAACACUUUAUUCAACGACGAUUUCAGUGCUUCAGUGAUGAUUGAAUGAGCUAAGAAGAGGAAGGGUUGGAAAAUCGUGUUGAGGUAAAGUCUACUUUUUCCUGUUGGCAUCACACAUUAUAGACACAAUAACUUUGUUUCAAUUUUUUAAUCAUUUUGGACUGAACUAAUUUUAAGUUAAAACUUAAUAUAGGAUGAUUCUAUUCAUAGCUCGGAUUUUACUCUUUAUAGUCUCAAUUUAAAAUAAUAAUUAAAAAUUUAUCAUCAUAUCCUAAUAUUUAAUAGCUCCAAAUU